RNAcentral lists this non-coding RNA (30 nucleotides) under Homo sapiens (human). Lineage: Eukaryota; Metazoa; Chordata; Mammalia; Primates; Hominidae. The record is from RNAcentral.
UAGGUGACCCCUUGGAAUAAUGGCCUCUCC